GACGAACGCUGGCGGCGUGCCUAAUACAUGCAAGUCGAGCGAGACUCUUCGGAGUCUAGCGGCGGACGGGUGAGUAACACGUGGGCAACCUGCCUGUAAGACUGGGAUAACACCGGGAAACCGGUGCUAAUACCGGAUAAUCCUUUUCUUCUCAUGAGGAAAAGCUGAAAGUCGGUUUCGGCUGACACUUACAGAUGGGCCCGCGGCGCAUUAGCUAGUUGGUGAGGUAACGGCUCACCAAGGCGACGAUGCGUAGCCGACCUGAGAGGGUGAUCGGCCACACUGGGACUGAGACACGGCCCAGACUCCUACGGGAGGCAGCAGUAGGGAAUCUUCCACAAUGGACGAAAGUCUGAUGGAGCAACGCCGCGUGAGCGAUGAAGGCCUUCGGGUCGUAAAGCUCUGUUGUUAGGGAAGAACAAGUACCGGAGUAACUGCCGGUACCUUGACGGUACCUAACCAGAAAGCCACGGCUAACUACGUGCCAGCCGCCGCCGUAA
This 500-nucleotide ribosomal RNA is filed under the name uncultured bacterium. RNAcentral's name for it is "partial 16S ribosomal RNA". It matches the Rfam family "Bacterial small subunit ribosomal RNA", at positions 28 to 523 of the family's 1533-position model. The record is from RNAcentral.